AUUGAACGCUGGCGGCAGGCCUAACACAUGCAAGUCGAGCGGAUGAAGGGGGCUUGCUCCUGGAUUCAGCGGCGGACGGGUGAGUAAUGCCUAGGAAUCUGCCUGGUAGUGGGGGAUAACGUCCGGAAACGGGCGCUAAUACCGCAUACGUCCUGAGGGAGAAAGUGGGGGAUCUACGGACCUCACGCUAUCAGAUGAGCCUAGGUCGGAUUAGCUAGUUGGUGGGGUAAAGGCCUACCAAGGCGACGAUCCGUAACUGGUCUGAGAGGAUGAUCAGUCACACUGGAACUGAGACACGGUCCAGACUCCUACGGGAGGCAGCAGUGGGGAAUAUUGGACAAUGGGCGAAAGCCUGAUCCAGCCAUGCCGCGUGUGUGAAGAAGGUCUUCGGAUUGUAAAGCACUUUAAGUUGGGAGGAAGGGCAGUAAGUUAAUACCUUGCUGUUUUGACGUUACCAACAGAAUAAGCACCGGCUAACUUCGUG
RNAcentral lists this ribosomal RNA (484 nucleotides) under uncultured bacterium. Its description in RNAcentral is "partial 16S ribosomal RNA". It matches the Rfam family "Bacterial small subunit ribosomal RNA", at positions 30 to 507 of the family's 1533-position model. The record is from RNAcentral.